AGUGGCGGACGGGUGAGUAACGCGUGAGUAACCUGCCUCUAAGAGGGGAAUAACAUUCUGAAAAGAAUGCUAAUACCGCAUAAUAUAUAUUUAUCGCAUGGUAGAUAUAUCAAAGAUUUAUCGCUUAGAGAUGGACUCGCGUCCGAUUAGUUAGUUGGUGAGGUAACGGCUCACCAAGACCGCGAUCGGUAGCCGGACUGAGAGGUUGAACGGCCACAUUGGGACUGAGACACGGCCCAGACUCCUACGGGAGGCAGCAGUGGGGGAUAUUGGACAAUGGGGGAAACCCUGAUCCAGCGACGCCGCGUGAGGGAAGAAGGUUUUCGGAUUGUAAACCUCUGUUGACGGAGAAAAAAAUGAUGGUAUCCGUUUAGAAAGCCACGGCUAACUACGUGCCAGCAGCCGCGGUAAUACGUAGGUGGCAAGCGUUGUCCGGAAUUACUGGGUGUAAAGGGAGUGUAGGCGGGAUAUCAAGUCAGAAGUGAAAAUUACGGGCUCAACUCGUAACCUGCUUUUGAAACUGACAUUCUUGAGUGAAGUAGAGGCAAGCGGAAUUCCUAGUGUAGCGGUGAAAUGCGUAGAUAUUAGGAGGAACACCAGUGGCG
This 605-nucleotide ribosomal RNA is filed under the name uncultured Lachnospiraceae bacterium. Its description in RNAcentral is "bacterial SSU rRNA". It matches the Rfam family "Bacterial small subunit ribosomal RNA", at positions 94 to 717 of the family's 1533-position model. Lineage: Bacteria; Bacillati; Bacillota; Clostridia; Lachnospirales; Lachnospiraceae. The record is from RNAcentral.